This 589-nucleotide ribosomal RNA is filed under the name uncultured bacterium. RNAcentral's name for it is "partial 16S ribosomal RNA". It matches the Rfam family "Bacterial small subunit ribosomal RNA", at positions 355 to 938 of the family's 1533-position model. The record is from RNAcentral.
UGGGGAAUUUUGGACAAUGGGGGAAACCCUGAUCCAGCCAUCCCGCGUGUGCGAUGAAGGCCUUCGGGUUGUAAAGCACUUUUGGCAGGAAAGAAACGUCGCGGGUUAAUACCCCGCGAAACUGACGGUACCUGCAGAAUAAGCACCGGCUAACUACGUGCCAGCAGCCGCGGUAAUACGUAGGGUGCAAGCGUUAAUCGGAAUUACUGGGCGUAAAGCGUGCGCAGGCGGUUCGGAAAGAAAGAUGUGAAAUCCCAGAGCUUAACUUUGGAACUGCAUUUUUAACUACCGGGCUAGAGUGUGUCAGAGGGAGGUGGAACUCCGCGUGUAGCAGUGAAAUGCGUAGAUAUGCGGAGGAACACCGAUGGGCGAAGGCAGCCUCCUGGGAUAACACUGACGCUCAUGCACGAAAGCGUGGGGAGCAAACAGGAUUAGAUACCCUGGUAGUCCACGCCCUAAACGAUGUCAACUAGCUGUUGGGGGCCUUCGGGCCUUGGUAGCGCAGCUAACGCGUGAAGUUGACCGCCUGGGGGAGUACGGUCGCAAGAUUAAAACUUAAAUGAAUUGACGGGGGUCAUAGCUGUUUCCU